Molecule: transfer RNA, 73 nt
Filed under: Caudoviricetes sp.
Lineage: Duplodnaviria; Heunggongvirae; Uroviricota; Caudoviricetes
Description: tRNA-Asn
Rfam family: tRNA
About the family: Transfer RNA (tRNA) molecules are approximately 80 nucleotides in length.
Source: RNAcentral
GGGUGUGUAGUCCAACGGAAGAACAGCAGACUGUUAAUCUGCAUAUAGGAGUUCAACUCUCCUCACACCCUUA